GUGGCUAGAAAGAAGGAGAGUAAUUUUGUACGGAUUCCACGAGGCUGAGAAGAAGAGUGGACAAUGGAGGUUGAAGGAGAUCAAACAGAGAACCAUAUCUGAAGCAUUUCAGAAGCUCGAUGGGAAUUUGAUUGGGGAAGGCUUGCUAUUCAAUUUCGGACAGUUAGGACAGUUACGUGUUUGGAAACAAUUCUUUCAAAGAGAAGAGAGAAACAAAUCACGAUACUGUAAAAACUCCAGAAAUUGGAUUACAACUUUUAGCUUGUUAUCAUCGUGCGAGAACCCAGGCAUCUCCUGAAAGUAAUCAUCGUUUGUGAAAGAAGGAUGAGUUAAACAUACCUGAGGUAAGCGAAGGAAGGAGUCAUUUCAAAGUUUGGUGAUGUAAAGAGAUUGAUGAAAAGAGGUACUUGUUUGAUGAGUUAGAAGAAUGUGAAAGAGAUGACGGUAUUUAUAGAUAACUUAGAAGCUUAGGGUUUUGGCAUUCUCGUGUGUUGAAAGUCUUAGCCAGCAAGCACAAUAUCUAAGAUAUGACUAACAAAUAAGGAUUAUUCAUUUAUUUGGCAAGGAAUGUUACCAUUGUUUUAGGGAAGUUUAAGUUAUUGCUAAAUAAUAGUAGGAUUUUUCGGAGAUUGUGAACAAUAUAGGUAUGAUUGCAUUAGAUUGAAGAAUUCGUAGAUCUUUCUAAUAA
Molecule: long non-coding RNA, 688 nt
Organism: Arabidopsis lyrata subsp. lyrata
Lineage: Eukaryota; Viridiplantae; Streptophyta; Magnoliopsida; Brassicales; Brassicaceae
Exons: 2
Source: RefSeq, a predicted model, not a curated record